RNAcentral lists this antisense RNA (184 nucleotides) under Prochlorococcus marinus str. MIT 9312. RNAcentral's name for it is "Antisense RNA which regulates isiA expression". It matches the Rfam family "Antisense RNA which regulates isiA expression". The record is from Rfam by way of RNAcentral. Lineage: Bacteria; Bacillati; Cyanobacteriota; Cyanophyceae; Synechococcales; Prochlorococcaceae.
GAUAACCAAGAAUAACCCUUGGAUCUAAUGUUGGAUUGACUAAUCUGACUUCACCACCACCAGGUGCCCAAGUAUCAUAAGCACCACCAAUGAAACACCAGUUCACAGUCCAUGCUAAUGCACCUACACCAAGAACACACAAAUGAUAACCAAGAAUAUUGGUCAUUUGAUUUUUAUCUCUCCA